RNAcentral lists this long non-coding RNA (146 nucleotides) under Capra hircus (goat). Its description in RNAcentral is "lncRNA (ENSCHIG00010032117.1)". Lineage: Eukaryota; Metazoa; Chordata; Mammalia; Artiodactyla; Bovidae. The record is from RNAcentral.
AAUCGAGGACCGAGGCAAGGACACCAUGCUGCGGCGUCUCCCACUGACACCCAUGACCUGUCCAGGCAGAUUUCUGCGGCGGGAUCUGGAAGAGUGGUGCCUGACGUGCUAAACCCACCUUUCCACCAGAGGGCAGGUGUGUCAUA